This 444-nucleotide ribosomal RNA is filed under the name uncultured bacterium. RNAcentral's name for it is "SSU rRNA". It matches the Rfam family "Bacterial small subunit ribosomal RNA", at positions 26 to 518 of the family's 1533-position model. The record is from RNAcentral.
AGAGCGAACGCUGGCGGCAGGCUUAACACAUGCAAGUCGAGCGCCCCGCAAGGGGAGCGGCAGACGGGUGAGUAACACGUGGGAACGUGCCUUUUGGUUCGGAACAACCCAGGGAAACUUGGGCUAAUACCGGAUAAGCCCUUACGGGGAAAGAUUUAUCGCCAAAAGAUCGGCCCGCGUCUGAUUAGCUAGUUGGUGGGGUAAUGGCCCACCAAGGCUACGAUCAGUAGCUGGUCUGAGAGGAUGAUCAGCCACAUUGGGACUGAGACACGGCCCAAACUCCUACGGGAGGCAGCAGUGGGGAAUAUUGGACAAUGGGGGCAACCCUGAUCCAGCCAUGCCGCGUGAGUGAUGAAGGCCUUAGGGUUGUAAAGCUCUUUUAGCAGGGAAGAUAAUGACGGUACCUGCAGAAAAAGCCCCGGCUAACUUCGUGCCAGCAGCCGC